This 457-nucleotide ribosomal RNA is filed under the name Streptococcus mutans. RNAcentral's name for it is "bacterial SSU rRNA". It matches the Rfam family "Bacterial small subunit ribosomal RNA", at positions 28 to 464 of the family's 1533-position model. The record is from RNAcentral. Lineage: Bacteria; Bacillati; Bacillota; Bacilli; Lactobacillales; Streptococcaceae.
GACGAACGCUGGCGGCGUGCCUAAUACAUGCAAGUGGGACGCAAGGAAACACACUGUGCUUGCACACCGUGUUUUCUUGAGCCGUGAACGGGUGAGUAACGCGUAGGUAACCUGCCUAUUAGCGGGGGAUAACUAUUGGAAACGAUAGCUAAUACCGCAUAAUAUUAAUUAUUGCAUGAUAAUUGAUUGAAAGAUGCAAGCGCAUCACUAGUAGAUGGACCUGCGUUGUAUUAGCUAGUCGGUAAGGUAAGAGCUUACCAAGGCGACGAUACAUAGCCGACCUGAGAGGGUGAUCGGCCACACUGGGACUGAGACACGGCCCAGACUCCUACGGGAGGCAGCAGUAUGGAAUCUUCGGCAAUGGACGAAAGUCUGACCGAGCAACGCCGCGUGAGUGAAGAAGGUUUUCGGAUCGUAAAGCUCUGUUGUAAGUCAAGAACGUGUGUGAGAGUGGAAA